RNAcentral lists this long non-coding RNA (317 nucleotides) under Elaeis guineensis (African oil palm). RNAcentral describes it as "long non-coding RNA (EGUI_LNC071863)". The record is from RNAcentral. Lineage: Eukaryota; Viridiplantae; Streptophyta; Magnoliopsida; Arecales; Arecaceae.
AAAUGGUGCCUAGAAGGAAGAGUCCUUUUGGCCUACUCCUUUUAAAUAUCCUUAUCUUUCCAUGCCACUAAAAUUCCUAUGCUUUCCUUUAUUCCACAUGCCAUCAAAUGUUUUUUAGGAAUAAAUGGGUGCAGAAGAGGAGUCCUUCUAUCUAAAGGCUAUUGGAAUUUGAUGUCAGAGCAUGCAUGUGUUGAGAUUUGAUGCCUUAAGAUUCAAUCCAUAUUGAGCUCGUAGUGAGGUUCAGGAUGACGAAUGGAGUCUAACGAGCUUAAGAACAGUCCAAACAGAGUUCAGAUGGUGAAGAUACGUACGAAAGC